AUUAAUAGGCUUUUAAUCAAGUAACAACUUUUUUAAGCAGAUGCUAAAUGUAGUACCAGAGUAAUUGGAUCCUAGUGUACUGACAGGGUCUUGAAUAUGUUAAGAAAAUGCUGUUCAUUUCGAAGAGUUUCAAAACAUUUGAGAGGGAGGAAGGCACUCUUCCACUGACCCUCAGUGUGCAUUUUAGUUUCAUUUUGGGUUGACUCUUCUCUGUUGCUGCCUGAUGCCUCUAGUGUAAGGCGAAGAUCUCCAUGUCUCAUGUCUUUCCUGCUCCCCUUCUCUGCCCUGUUCCACUCAGGGGAAUAGCCCAGCAUCAACUCAGUCCAUGCUUGUUAAUCAACCUCCAUACACCACAUCCAGCAAAGCUCCCUGAGUGACUCACAGUCACCAACCACCCGUGCACUGAUCUUUCCUCUGUGUCCUUCCAGAUUGUCCUGAGGAUGGCCUGGUUUUAAGAGGCUCACCGCCAUGUAAAGAUGAAGAAGAAGAAAAAGAAGAUGAUGAUGAUAAGAAUGAUGCCCACAUAACAGCUUGGAGCGAAAACGACUUGAUGCUGGAGAGUAUAAGUGAUAGAAGUUACGAGGAGACUCAUCCAGGGUGACUUCCAAUAAAACCCCCACCGCCGGCACUUUUCUCAGGACUGGAGAGCUCAGGCAGCCCAGGACGAAUAGUGCAGUCACCGCAGACGGGCAGGGUGGCCACAAGAGACAGGGUCUUGCUUUGUCACCCAGGCUAGAGUGCAGUAGCAUGAUCAUAGCUCACCGCAGCCUCAAACUCCUUGGCUCAAAUGAUCCUCCCACAUCAUUCUUCCACGGAGCUAGGUUUGGCUAUCCGUCCCAAGCGCUGGACCACAAAAAUAUGGAGAUGGACCAAAAUUUGGCGUGCAGGAAAUAAAGGAAUGUGCAUGUGAGGUUCCAGGGCGAGCCUUACUACGGACCAGGCUGUGAAACUGGGAGCUGCCUUGAAAAGACAUUCCUCAAGAUGUUGCCAAAAAAAGUGGUGUUUAUUUCCAUGACUGAAGGGGCUGCUUCCGUCCUCCUGAUCAAGGGGAUGCAGGGGACAUGCUCAGAGGAUCAGCGACCACCUGCCCUAGACCUAUGGAGACAGGUGAGGGUGGCAUUGCUGCAGCUCCCCAGGGAGGCCUGUGCAGCUGUGACACCACCUCCAUCACCCACUUGAGGGCUCAGCGGCCCCAUACUGAUCCCAUGGUGCUUCCCAUGCCCCUCACCCCACUCUCUGUUGUUUCUCUGAGGAGGGUUGGAGGCAUUCCCUAGCCAGGCGCUGAGGACUGUCCUUUUGUAUUAGGAGGGAGUCUGUGGGUCUUCAUACUGCACUCGAGGAGGAUGAGAUAUGAGUCCCUACAAGGGCUUCCCUCCUGUGCCAUGGCCUGCCUGUUCCCUGACCUUUGCCUAUUUCUUCUGUCCUUGACUAUUUUAGAUAUGGUCUGUGGCCUAGAGGCACAGCAGGGCCCCACAGUGGCCCCAGCAAAGGCAAUCGAGGUGGAGGAGCGGAUGUAUGGGGAGUCACAGAGGCGCUGGCCC
Molecule: long non-coding RNA, 1541 nt
Organism: Piliocolobus tephrosceles (Ugandan red Colobus)
Lineage: Eukaryota; Metazoa; Chordata; Mammalia; Primates; Cercopithecidae
Exons: 7
Source: RefSeq, a predicted model, not a curated record